UACCAGCUCUCCGAGUUGUAGGGAUGAUUAUUGGGCUUAAAGCGUCCGUAGCUGGCUUAGCAAGUCUCCUGUUAAAUUCAGCGACCUAAUCGUUGAGCCGCGGGAGAUACUACUAGGCUAGGAGGCGGGAGAGGUCGACGGUACUUUCGGGGUAGGGGUGAAAUCCUAUAAUCCCGGGAGGACCACCAGUGGCGAAGGCUGUCGACUAGAACGCGCUCGACGGCGAGGGACGAAAGCUGGGGGAGCGAACCGGAUUAGAUACCCGGGUAGUCCCAGCUGUAAACUAUGCGGGCUAGGUGUUGGGGUGGCUACGGGCCACUUCAGUGCCGCAGGAAAGCCAUUAAGCCCGCCGCCUGGGGAGUACGGCCGCAAGGCUGAAACUUAAAGGAAUUGGCGGGGGAGCACCACAAGGCGUGAAGCUUGCGGUUC
This 429-nucleotide ribosomal RNA is filed under the name uncultured archaeon. RNAcentral describes it as "bacterial SSU rRNA". It matches the Rfam family "Archaeal small subunit ribosomal RNA", at positions 474 to 903 of the family's 1478-position model. The record is from RNAcentral.